Neofelis nebulosa (Clouded leopard) is the source of this 761-nucleotide long non-coding RNA. RefSeq lists it as uncharacterized. The record is from RefSeq and is a predicted model, not a curated record. NCBI's taxonomy places the organism in Eukaryota, Metazoa, Chordata, Mammalia, Carnivora, Felidae. The transcript is spliced from 2 exons.
CUCAAAGCCAGGAUAAAAGGGCCUUGGCCUCAGAGCACCUUCGUAUACUCCUCUCCUGAGGUGCUGACAGACUAGUGCUGCUUGCACACGCUCCUGACCCCUCCUGCCGAGAUGUCCUGCCAGCAAAACCAGCAACAGUGCCAGCCUCCUCCCAAGUGUCCCCCCAAGUGUCCUGCCCCCAAGUGCCCCCCCAAGUGUCCCCCAUUCUCUUCCUGCUGCAAUGUCAGUUCUGGGGGCUGCUGUGGCUCCAGCUCUGGGGGCAGGGGCUGUUGUAGCUCUGGGGGUGGUGGCUGCUGUAGCUCUGGGGGUGGUGGCUGCUGUCUGAGGCACCACAGGCGACGCAGGUCCCACCGCCACAGGCACCAGAGCUCUGACUGCUGCAGCCAGCCCUCAGGGGGCUCUGGAUGCUGCAGCCAGCCCUCGGGGGGCUCCAGCUGCUGUGGAGGGAGCAGCGGUCAGUCAUCUGGAAGCUGCUGCUGACAUGGACCCUGCCUGAGCCAAGAAGAGCAGACUUGGAAGCAACGAACUGCUGAGAAGGUCAUCUUUCUCCUCCUAGGCCUAACUCAGAGUCUGAGAGGUCCCAGAGAAGACUCUGAACUUGCAAAGACAAGAUGACUUCUGUGGGGUUUAGAAAUCAACUGUCUCCUACUCCCCCAUCUUCUGGCCUUGGAUUUCAUCCCCAUGUCAAAGUAACUCAUGUUGUACCUUAUUCCACAGUGCUCUCUGGCUGAUGUAAAACAAUAAAAUCAGGAAUCUGCUCA